Molecule: transfer RNA, 79 nt
Filed under: Marmota monax (woodchuck)
Lineage: Eukaryota; Metazoa; Chordata; Mammalia; Rodentia; Sciuridae
Description: tRNA.Ala
Rfam family: tRNA
About the family: Transfer RNA (tRNA) molecules are approximately 80 nucleotides in length. Their secondary structure includes four short double-helical elements and three loops (D, anti-codon, and T loops).
Source: RNAcentral
GGGGUUGUGGCUCAGCGGUAGAGCGCCCACCUCGCAUGUGUGAGACCCUGGGUUCCUGGGUUCAAUCCUCAGCACCACA